GACGGUAGAGUUCAUUAGAAAAGUUUGUUUUUGAAGUUAUAUCAGAGGCGAUGGAGGUAUAUAAAAGAAUUGCACGUCAUGUGAGAGAGGUCAAUGAAUUUUACAUAAAUAUAUCAUAUAGAGAGUAUUAUUUUAUAAAAUAAAUUAUAUAAAAAUUGUUCUUUUGUAAUCCACUUCUUUUGAUAUGAGAGAUUCAUUGAGUAUCCAUGUGCUCCUUCAAUCGAUCCAAUUCUGUCUGUGUAUCUAGCCAACAACAUUCCACAUGUACCCUUACAAAGUAGAGCUUCUUUUUUUUUUUUUUGAACAACAGUAGAGCUUCUAUAAUUCGUUUUUAAAAUAAACACAAAAUUGAGGCAAUAGAAAAUAUGAUCAUAGUAAUAUAUGCAUACAUAUAUAUAUAGAUCAAAUUUAAUUAACAUACAAGGUUAUUUAUUUAGCAAAACAAAAGCAAUGUUAUUUAGCAGGCCAAUAAUAUUUUUCCUCAAGUACAGCAUAUAUAAUCCUUGCUAGUAAAAACAGAACAUUUACAGUUUCACUUCGGUUUUGGAAUAUGUGAAUCUCAAGUUUGUCAAAAUUAGCUAGAAUUAGCUAAAAGUAGAACAAUGAUAU
This 609-nucleotide long non-coding RNA is filed under the name Brassica rapa (field mustard). RNAcentral describes it as "long non-coding RNA (BRAP_LNC000587)". The record is from RNAcentral. Lineage: Eukaryota; Viridiplantae; Streptophyta; Magnoliopsida; Brassicales; Brassicaceae.